RNAcentral lists this ribosomal RNA (429 nucleotides) under Fusobacteriota bacterium. Its description in RNAcentral is "Fusobacteria bacterium partial 16S ribosomal RNA". It matches the Rfam family "Bacterial small subunit ribosomal RNA", at positions 355 to 776 of the family's 1533-position model. Lineage: Bacteria; Fusobacteriati; Fusobacteriota. The record is from RNAcentral.
UGGGGAAUAUUGCGCAAUGGGCGAAAGCCUGACGCAGCGACGCCGCGUGAGGGAUGAAGGUUUUCGGAUCGUAAACCUCUGUCAGAAGGGAAGAAACCGCACUGUGCUAAUCAGCAGUGCCUUGACGGUACCUUCAAAGGAAGCACCGGCUAACUCCGUGCCAGCAGCCGCGGUAAUACGGAGGGUGCAAGCGUUAAUCGGAAUUACUGGGCGUAAAGCGCACGUAGGCUGCUUUGUAAGUCAGGGGUGAAAUCCCACGGCUCAACCGUGGAACUGCCUUUGUUACUGCUUAGCUUGAAUCCGGGAGUGGGUGGCGGAAUUCCAGGUGUAGGAGUGAAAUCCGUAGAUAUCUGGAGGAACAUCAGUGGCGAAGGCGGCCACCUGGACCGGUAUUGACGCUGAGGUGCGAAAGCGUGGGGAGCAAACAGG